RNAcentral lists this long non-coding RNA (1752 nucleotides) under Numida meleagris (helmeted guineafowl). RNAcentral's name for it is "lncRNA (ENSNMEG00000000587.1)". Lineage: Eukaryota; Metazoa; Chordata; Aves; Galliformes; Numididae. The record is from RNAcentral.
CUUUUUUCAUAUGAAUCUAUAUUGCAAAGCAGAGGGAACUCUGCCUCGCCUGCACAACAGGCUGCUUCCAGAUGGGUGACUUGUGUAACACUGUAUGAGACACUAAGCUGAGGUUCCAGGCUUGCAGAGGAAAUACAAGAAUAAACCGAGACCAAGAGAGGAGAGGAAGUGUGAGGGUAGCUGAGAACAUCCGCUCUAUUGCUGAGAUCCUCAGCCCUUUGUUGCUUCCUGACUCUUACAGCUGACAGGGGCAGAAGAUGGGGAAAUGCGACAGACUCCAUCAAAGUCACACACUGCUAAUUGCUUAAGCAAGUUCUCUCUUUCUCGUUGAUAACAGCACAAGAAUAGUGCAAGUCUUCUACAGUAUGAGCCAGAGCCAUUGCUCACACCAGCUGAGCAGGAGCUGAGUCCAUCCACCAUCUUGGCAGGACUGGGGGGGUGAAGAACAUGGAACAUAAAAUGAAUGAAAGUGACACACAUCAACACUUCUCCAUCUGUGAAAUGAGGAACAUCUAUAUUUGCUGUUGUGUCAAGGUAAUAGAUGUAUUAGAAAUACCACAGUUAGUCAUUAUUUUGUUCCCAUUUGUAGGCAGCUCCUUAAAUCAAACCGCUGAAGUACAUCUUCCUGUUGCUCUGAGGCACUGUAAUUUGUUGUGUUCAAACACUGUUACUAUUCUAAGCUACCUUGAAAGAAGAAAAAAUACCAUCCUCUCUAACAUUUAGAUUGAUAAAGUUUUACUGGGUAGAAGUUGACUGACUUGUUUGUAAAUGGGAUAAAAUGUACAAGAUUAGACUGUAUUGGGUAGUGUAGUGACUAAUAUCAGUAAGAGUACCUAUAAAAUGCUGCAAUAAUAGAAUUUGGUGGUUGGGUUUUUUUCCUUUUUUUUUUUUUUUUGUAUGUUUGGACGCUACUGAUAUGGCUUUCAGUUACUUAUGAGAAUUAUUAAGUUAGUGGAGAAAUAGGCCAUUGGAUGUUUUUUUUUUGAGGUAUAGAUUAAGACAGUCUUCCACUGAAUCAUAGCAUGGCUGAGGUUGAAAGGGACCUCCUGAGCACAUCUGUUCCAACCCCCUGUUUAAGCAGGGACACCCAGAGCAGGGUGCCAAGGAUCACUCCCAGGCAGCUUCUGAAGAUUAACAAGGAGGAGACUCUACAGCCUCUAUGGGCAGCCUGGGCCAGUGCUUCAUCAGCCGUACAGUAAAGAAGUGCUUCCUGAUGUGUUUCAGUUUGUACUCAUUGCAUUUUGUCCUGGCACUGGGCACCACUGAAAAUAGCUUGAAUCUGUCCUCACUAUACCCUCCCUUUAUUUACAUAUGUUAAUGAGAUCCCCUAUUGGGUUUCUGCAGCAUGUUUUUAGUAGUGGGGGCUGCUGGGGUGGCCGCUGAGAGCAGAGCCCAGUAACUGUUCCAUGCCAGAUCAGAGCAAAACUUCAGCUGUCCAAUGUGGUGUCCAGUGCAGCUUCAUCAGUGCAGAGCAGAGGGCAAGGAUCACCUUCCUCUACCUGCUGGUAACACCUCUUCUAAUGUAGACCAGGAUACCAUUAGGUUUCAAAGACAGAAGCAUAGCUGUGGCUUCACAUAUUCCUGCCAUGUAAGGGACACUCUCUGAAGCAUCUCUUCCCUGCCUUAACUGUUGCAAGUAAUUGCUUGCUAGAGGGAAAAUCUCUGGGACACUUGGUCCUUCAGGCAUAAUGGGUGUUGGCUGUGGACAUAUCCCAAAAUAAAAGUUGUAGAUGAAUGAAGCGUGUCUCUUGU